GAUGAACGCUGGCGGCGUGCUUAACACAUGCAAGUCGAACGAUGAAGCCCAGCUUGCUGGGUGGAUUAGUGGCGAACGGGUGAGUAACACGUGAGUAACCUGCCCUUAACUCUGGGAUAAGCCUGGGAAACUGGGUCUAAUACCGGAUAGGAGCGUCCACCGCAUGGUGGGUGUUGGAGAGAUUUAUCGGUUUUGGAUGGACUCGCGGCUUAUCAGCUUGUUGGUGAGGUAAUGGCUCACCAAGGCGACGACGGGUAGCCGGCCUGAGAGGGUGACCGGCCACACUGGGACUGAGACACGGCCCAGACUCCUACGGGAGGCAGCAGUGGGGAAUAUUGCACAAUGGGCGCAAGCCUGAUGCAGCGACGCCGCGUGAGGGAUGACGGCCUUCGGGUUGUAAACCUCUUUCAGUAGGGAAGAAGCGAAAGUGACGGUACCUGCAGAAGAAGCACCGGCUAACUACGUG
RNAcentral lists this ribosomal RNA (466 nucleotides) under uncultured bacterium. RNAcentral's name for it is "partial 16S ribosomal RNA". It matches the Rfam family "Bacterial small subunit ribosomal RNA", at positions 28 to 507 of the family's 1533-position model. The record is from RNAcentral.